CAAUGUCAAAUGAUAACAUAAUGUCACCGAUAGGCUGUAAUCACAUUUCAUGACCAUGAAUGCCAAACACACUUUAGCUUUUGAAUAUGUGAACUAUUUUGAAAGGAACUAGUCACUGAAAGGAAAAUGGACACUGUAAAAAUGUAGCCUUUAUGUUCAAAAUAACAAGAGUCACCGUUUAUGCAUAUAAUAAUACAUAUAAUUAGACAACAGGAAAGAUGAGUGAGGUCAGUGCAAAAUUAAACAUGAGCCGUCGGUGUUCUUUCUUUCAAAUAGGACGUGAAAUUAACUUUAAAAUGUGUACCAUAGACAGUGCCAGCAGAGGUCAGUAACACACAGUAAAUUAUAUACACAGCAAUUUUGCUCUUUAACUACUGUGCACUGAAUAAUGUGUUUCACCAGACUGUUCCCAAGAAGAAAUCUGUUAGCAGAACAUGAGGUCAGCCACUGGGACGUGUUUUUCUGUUUUGAUGUUCUCUCAUUCUGACCUUUCCUGUACAAUCUAUCACCUAAACAGAGCUAAGGCAACAGUUCCUCCACUUCUCCGUUCCACCCUACUUGCUGUGAACACAGCUGGUAUCUUUAAAAUGCUAAACUAUCCCCACCUUUUGCUUUAGGGCCCAUUCACCACUGAGAAUCCAAGAAUGCAUUCAGCCUUUUACAGAGACCGUUGCCAUAGAAAUACUCAGAAUCCCCUAGUAACAGCAAAUGGGUGUGGGAGUAUCAAGUCACGUGGCCAGCCUAACAGUAAACAAGCCUCAUUCAUAACACAGUUGCACACAUGGUAUAAAUUACAAGUCUGCAGCAGUGAAGACUUGAGGAAUGAUCCAAAAGGGCAAAUCACCAGCAGGCAGACUGAUCGGAAAACAUCAACAACACAGACUACAUAAGAAAAAAAAAGUACAAGAUGUUUAUUCUGUCAUGCUGAUGAAAGCGUAAAUGACAGACUUAGAAACUGCUCAAGGCGUAUCAAAACAUACAUCUGUUGUACACUGGUAUACAGCAUUUCUGGUAAAUCUGUUUUAACUGACAUAUAUUAAAGUGAUCAAUUCCUAAUUAACACUGCUACCCAUAAGGACACUUAUAAUUUACCAGUCAGCUGUCUUACCAAGAGUACUGACAACAAAGAACUGAUAAAACAUUAUUAACACUUGCAAAACCUAAACAGUCUGGAUAAUUGAAUUCAUAUUAGUUUAUUUAUAAAUAUGUAUCAGGCUAUCCCUGGAAUGAAGAAGAGCUACAAUCUAAUAGGUUUUAAGAGUAACCUUUAAAUCAAAUGGACAAUAGUUUAGUUUGAUGCUCAGUAAAGUGACAAAAUGUGGGGCAGGGUCAUAGAGGGAGUGUACAUUAGCCAUCUAAGAAGUUUCUAGUUUCCUCUGUGCAGAGGACAUGAAGAAACUGCACAUCCCAGGAUGCUUUGGGGGAAAAUGGCCUGCUAAUUUCCUGUCUAAACCAUCUCAGCUGUGAGGGAUUAGUUGCCUUCUUCCUGGGUUUAAAAGGGUGUGGCAAAAAAGUGAGGGUCUUUUGUUUGAGAAGGACUUGAAAGCUAGUCUGGUUUUGGUGACGGCUUUUUUUGGACUCUAAAAAGGACAAAUAUGCAAGUGCCAGGCAGAGGAAUCAAGACGGGUUAUCACAGGAGCUCAUCGAUGACCGCCCCACAAACAAACCAGACUGGACUACGUUACGUAGAGGAUCAGAAGGACUGCAAAAUCCCAGGACCGCUCACCUAAACACAGCCUUGUCAGCAGAAAGGGCCAAUUCACAUUCUUGUAGGCAGGAUAAGGUCAAAUUAAAAUUAAUUCCAAAAUGCA
Molecule: long non-coding RNA, 1811 nt
Organism: Lepisosteus oculatus (spotted gar)
Lineage: Eukaryota; Metazoa; Chordata; Actinopteri; Semionotiformes; Lepisosteidae
Source: RefSeq, a predicted model, not a curated record